CCGGUGACAUAUCUCUAACAUUGUAGCUGUGAGGUGAUCUUUGUGUAAUUAUGAUGGAAGCACUCCGUCUCUGUGUAAUUAUACACCAGUUGUCAACAAACGAUGUAUAUUCUCCGUGAUGAAACGUUAAAACUGGAUGGCAUUGGAAUUAAAGAAAGUCUUUUAAAGAAGGAAAAUAUCUGUAUGUUCCAGUGAAAGGAGAAUAAUUCUAGAAAGUGGAUUGUGUAAGAACAAGCGUGGAAAGGUUGAUUUUACU
Molecule: long non-coding RNA, 256 nt
Organism: Octopus sinensis (East Asian common octopus)
Lineage: Eukaryota; Metazoa; Mollusca; Cephalopoda; Octopoda; Octopodidae
Exons: 2
Source: RefSeq, a predicted model, not a curated record